This 431-nucleotide ribosomal RNA is filed under the name uncultured Legionella sp. Its description in RNAcentral is "bacterial SSU rRNA". It matches the Rfam family "Bacterial small subunit ribosomal RNA", at positions 60 to 479 of the family's 1533-position model. Lineage: Bacteria; Pseudomonadati; Pseudomonadota; Gammaproteobacteria; Legionellales; Legionellaceae. The record is from RNAcentral.
AGUCBAACGGCAGCACGGUCUAGUUUACUAGAUGGGUGGCGAGUGGCGAACGGGUGAGUAACGCGUAGGAAUAUACCUUAAAGUGGGGGACAACUUGGGGAAACUCAAGCUAAUACCGCAUAGAUCUCUGAGGAGAGAAGCUGGGGACCUUCGGGCCUGGCGCUUUAAGAUUAGCCUGCGUCCGAUUAGCUAGUUGGUGGGGUAAGGGCCUACCAAGGCAAAGAUGGCUAGCCGGCCUGAGAGGGUGUACGGCCACAUUGGGACUGAGAUACGGCCCAAACUCCUACGGGAGGCAGCAGUGAGGAAUAUUGCGCAAUGGGCGAAAGCCUGACGCAGCGACACCGCGUGAAGGAUGAAGGUCUUCGGAUUGUAAACUUCUGUUAAGUGAGAAGAAAGAACCACCUCUAAUAUGGGUGGGAGAUGACGUUAUC